This 73-nucleotide transfer RNA is filed under the name Stegodyphus mimosarum. It matches the Rfam family "tRNA". From Rfam's summary of the family: Transfer RNA (tRNA) molecules are approximately 80 nucleotides in length. Their secondary structure includes four short double-helical elements and three loops (D, anti-codon, and T loops). Further hydrogen bonds mediate the characteristic L-shaped molecular structure. tRNAs have two regions of fundamental functional importance: the anti-codon, which is responsible for specific mRNA codon recognition, and the 3' end, to which the tRNAs corresponding amino acid is attached (by aminoacyl-tRNA synthetases). tRNAs cope with the degeneracy of the genetic code in two manners: having more than one tRNA (with a specific anti-codon) for a particular amino acid; and 'wobble' base-pairing, i.e. permitting non-standard base-pairing at the 3rd anti-codon position. The record is from Rfam by way of RNAcentral. Lineage: Eukaryota; Metazoa; Arthropoda; Arachnida; Araneae; Eresidae.
GCCUUCGUGGUGUAGUAGUCAGCACGCUCGACGCGCAUUCCAGAGUUCCGUGGUUCGAAUCCCUUCGAAUGCA